GUGGCUUACAUGUUCACUAGUAAGCGUCAAAAUGACCUUACUAGUGAACUAGUGGGCAAUAUGGAAUAAAUACUCAAAGGGCUUGCCUGGCAAGCCCUUUGAGUAUUUAUUCAUCCGUGAUGGUAUUGUAGACCAAUGAGAGCACGUCCGACAGACACGUGGACUUCGGGCAGCCAAUCAUGAUGCAUUUCGAGCCAAGCCCCAACAAAAACGGAGGAGAAAACUUUCAGACGCUUUGAAAGCUUUUGGGGUCCUCGUUUCUGGGAGAGUCCACAGCACCUCCUGUAUCACAACCAUUCUGCCGGCACACCUUCAGCAGCACGAUGUUUCUAACGGGAGCUGGAGGGUGAUCAGCUUCAUUGAAGAACAGGAGGAGGAGAGGCACAACGUUUGUCAUUUGUGAUAUGUUUUUAGACUUUUCUCCUAAUUAAAAAAACUGUAUGUUUUGUUAAUUUCUUGAUAUAGUUCUUGUAUUUAAAUAUUUUAACAAUCAAAUAUUUUUCAACUGUGUUUUAGAUAUGAAUUGUAUGAAAUAAAUCAGUGAAGCCCCAUUCAAAUUCUACUCCAUCUAA
Long non-coding RNA from Hippocampus zosterae (dwarf seahorse), 572 nucleotides. RefSeq lists it as uncharacterized. The transcript is spliced from 2 exons. The record is from RefSeq and is a predicted model, not a curated record. Lineage: Eukaryota; Metazoa; Chordata; Actinopteri; Syngnathiformes; Syngnathidae.